AGAUGUCAAGUUUGUUAUUGGUAUGAGCUUUCGUGUGCAUGCACACUUCUUCAGAUACCUAGAAGUGUGCAUGCAAAUGAAAGCUCUUCAGAUAUCUGGAAGUGUGCAUGCACACGAAAGCUCACGCCAAUAACAAACUUAGUUGG
Molecule: microRNA precursor, 146 nt
Filed under: Podarcis lilfordi (Lilford's wall lizard)
Lineage: Eukaryota; Metazoa; Chordata; Lepidosauria; Squamata; Lacertidae
Source: RNAcentral